Molecule: small RNA, 193 nt
Filed under: Staphylococcus argenteus
Lineage: Bacteria; Bacillati; Bacillota; Bacilli; Caryophanales; Staphylococcaceae
Source: RNAcentral
CUACAUACAACCGCUCAAAUAUAGGUUCAAGAACAUGAUUAAGGAAUAAAGCGAUUGACAAUCAAGGCGAUGAAGAGAGAAACGAGAAGAGUUUAUUUUUAUAAAUGACUUGAGUUUCUACUGAAACAACGCAGAGUGCGAACGCUUUACUCAAUAACAUAUGUCACCUAUAUAUGGCGUGACUUAUUAUACA